Long non-coding RNA from Apis florea (little honeybee), 1047 nucleotides. NCBI's taxonomy places the organism in Eukaryota, Metazoa, Arthropoda, Insecta, Hymenoptera, Apidae. The record is from RefSeq and is a predicted model, not a curated record.
AAGAAUUAAUCAAGUUAAUAUUUUUCUUGCGAGUGCAAAAAGAAGAAGCAAAUGUUUUUUUUUUAUACAGAGAAAGUAAUAAGAAACUGUUAAUGUUUAUAUCGAAAAUAUGGUAAAUUCCAUUUGUACGAACCUGUUCAAGAUAAGCAAAUUUAUAUGGCCAAGUUGUUUAUGCAAUAACGGUUUUAAUUAUCCCCACUGGCUAUGAUUUUUCAUUCAAUUAAUAAGAGUUCAUUUGCACGUGAAUACGUAAUAACAUUUUAUAUUUUAUACGAAUUUGGGGAGGGAAAAAAGUAUCUUGCAUACGUGAUAUUAUAAUUAUUUGUAUAAUAAAAUGAAAAAUUCAUUUAUUUUGCAGCAGUGACACAGUUUAAUAAAUUAAUACCUCGAAUUAAAUACAGAUGAUUCCUCCCCUCGAUUUUUUCGAAUUAAUUAAUAAUUCCCCGACCGUUCGUAAAUUGGGAAUUUGCCUUGAAUAGAAUUCUGUAAACGAGAAUUCGAAUACGAAACGAAUGUUAAAUUAUAAAAUUAUUGGCCAAGGAUUUACAGUAUUUAAAAAAAUGGCGUAAGAAAAAUUUCAUUGCGCGAUUUCCUGUGCACGCUUUUAAUUGGCCUCGUAUAAUUUGAAUCAAAAGAAUUCCAAAAAAUUUCUAAAGUGAGACGAAGCCAUGUUCCUGAGAGAAGUGGUCACCGAACAAAGAUGGUCCGCCUAACUUCUAAUAUUGAGAGCUUGACACAUCGGGAAGUCAGUGGCUCGAAGCCAAGAGAGAGAGAGAGAGAGAGAGAGACCUCCUCGUUCGCUGGACGACGACCCUGAAUGUUCACCUAACGUUCCAUCCACAAUGAUUCGAUCCCCUCGUGAUCGAUCUCGAUCACGAAUCGCGGAUCUGGAAAAUCGGAUCGAAGUAAUCCGUGCCACGGUGUCGCGUGAACCGUGACGCGUUUCCCGGAUGAUCGGCCCCGUGGACUUUGUCACAAAGCUCUGGCCAAUGGCGAAAGUCGUUUUUGCAAAGUGAUCGAGUUCGUCGAGAUGAAGCUUGGUAAAAA